Molecule: non-coding RNA, 30 nt
Filed under: Homo sapiens (human)
Lineage: Eukaryota; Metazoa; Chordata; Mammalia; Primates; Hominidae
Source: RNAcentral
UGUUUUGUGGUGAAAAGCUCAGGUAGGGCC